This is a long non-coding RNA of Neofelis nebulosa (Clouded leopard), 2096 nucleotides long. RefSeq lists it as uncharacterized. The transcript is spliced from 2 exons. Lineage: Eukaryota; Metazoa; Chordata; Mammalia; Carnivora; Felidae. The record is from RefSeq and is a predicted model, not a curated record.
UUUAUUUUUCCUUUCUUUUUUCUCUUUUUUCUUUCUUCCUUCCUUUUUUCCUUUUCUUUUCUUUCUUCUGAGAAGCAACACGAAUGGGAGAGGGGGUGGUGAGAAUCUUAAGCAGAGGCUCCACGCUUAACACAGAGCCCAGCAUGGGGCUCAGUCCACGAGCCUGGGAUCAUCACUGGAGCCAAAAUCAAGAGUCUGCUGCUCAACCAACUGAGGCACCCAGGAGCCCCUGGCCUGUAAAGUGUCUACUGAAAAAUCAUCUCCUAGUGUUAGGUGGGGGCUCCCUUGUACAGAACUGGUUGUUUAUCUCCUGCUGCUUGUAAGAUUCUCUCUUUAUCUUUAACUGUUGAAACGGUGAUUAGACUGUGUCUUGCUGUCGGUCUCUUGGGGUUCAUCUUAAUUGGAACUCUCUGUGCUUCUCUGAUUUGGCGCGUGUCUCUUCACCAGGUGGGAGAAAUGUUCAGCCACUGUUUCUUCAAGUAGGUUUUCUAUCCCUUUCUCUCUUUCUUCUCCCUCUGGGAGCCUGUGAACGUUAGUGCACUUGGUGUUGUUCCAGAGGCCCCUUAACUGCCUCAUUUUUUAAAUUCUUUUUUCAGGGAGGGUCCUGCGUGGCUCCGUCAGUUGAGCAUCCAACUCUUGAUUUCGGCUCAGGUCAUGAUCCCAGAGUUGUGGGAUCGAGCCCCACAUCGGACUCCACACCAAGUGUGAAGCCUGCCUGGGAUUCUCUCUCUCCCCCUGUCCCUCUCCCCUGCUAGUGUGCAAGCUCUGUCUCUCAAAAAUAAAAAUAAAUAAAAAUAAGAUUCUUUUUUGGGAGUGCCUGGGUGGCUCAGUCAGUUAAGCGUCUGACUCUUGAUUUUGGCUCAGGUUAGAUUGAGCCCCGCAUUGGGCUCCACACUGGGUGUAGAACCUGCCUAAGAUAUUCCUCCCUGUCACCCUCCCUCUUCUCUCUCUCUCUCCCUCUCUCUCUCUAUCUCUCUCCCUCUCCCCUUCUCUCCCCCCUCCUCCCCCCUCCCCCUUCCUAUGUCUCUCUCCCUCCCUCCCUCUCCCUCUGCCCCUCCCCUGCUCACACUCUCAAAAGAAAAGAAAAGAAAAAGAAAAAAAAUUCUUUUUUCUUCUUGCUGUUUUAGCUGGGUGAUUUCCACUACCCUGUCUUCCAGCUUGCUAUUCCAUUUUGCAUCUUCCGAUCUCCUGUUGAUUCCCUGUAGUGUAUUUUAUAUUUUAGCUAUUGUAUUCUUCAGCUCAGAUUCUUUUUUAUGUUUUUAUCUCUUUGUUGAAGCUCUCACUGUGUUUGUCCCUUCUUCUCCUGAGUUCGGCGAGCAUCUUCCUGGUCACUACUCUGAACGCUAUCUGGUAGAUUGUUCAACUCUGUUUUAUUUAGUUCUUUUUCUAAGAUUUUGUCCUAUUAUUUUACUAGGAGCAUAUUCCUCUCUCCCCUCAACUUGCCCGACUCUCUGUAGAUCAGUUAUGUCUCCUGGUCCUGAAGGAGUUGCUUAUGCAGAAGGUGUCCUCUGGGACUGGGUAGUGCGAACUGCCCUGGUCACCCACGCCACAUGCCCCGGGGGGGUCCCCUGUGUGGGCUGUGGGCACCCUUCUGUGGUGGCUAGGUUGUGGUCGGUGCAUGCACACUGCCACCGCCCGGGCUGUGGCUAUGAGGCCCUGGCUGCUGUUGCAGGACUUGCAGCGUGUGGAGCUGGGUCCCCAGCGCAAGGGGUGCUUAGGGGGGCCCCGGGUGCCGGCUUGCCAGGUGUGGCAGUGCAUUUACGCUGAACUUGAAGUUUGUUUAUUAAUUUAUUCAAGAAAUCUCUACACUCAAUGCAGGGCUCGAACUCACAACCUCGAGAUCUAGAGUCCCAUGCUCUUCUGACUGAGCCGGCCAGAUGCGCCAAUAUGCUGGAUUUUACAUGAGAGCGGUAUCUGCCAGAAAAGGGAACGGAAGAACACCUCACCGGGUUGCCUGUUGGCCACAAAGAAACAGGAAUCCUCUUUGAAAAGUAAGCUCUUGAGGGCCUCCAGUCUGAUCAUGAGCUACAGCAACUCAGAUAUUUAGAGUGCUCGAGAAGGUGAAAAUACCAAUCAUUAAAAAAAUCUGCAGGAAA